CCGCACUAAUUGGGGAGCUGGCGGUGCCCUGUACCUGCAACCCGCCUUAGCAGGGAUGAAUUCCCGCCUUCGGGAGCGCGAUGUAUCGUCUGACCCGGGUAAGCAGCGAUGAGGAGCCGGUCUUGCGCAACGGGGACCCGUGAACCAUGUCAGGCGGGGAACCGAGCAGCAUUAAGCGGGCGCUCCCGUGUGCCGCGAGGGCGCCGUCUCCGAGCCGGCUGCCCGGGGAUCGGAUAUAUCGUGUCUUUCAACGGCGGGUGUGCGG
RNAcentral lists this signal recognition particle RNA (265 nucleotides) under Oscillospiraceae bacterium. RNAcentral's name for it is "signal recognition particle sRNA large type". It matches the Rfam family "Bacterial large signal recognition particle RNA". From Rfam's summary of the family: The signal recognition particle (SRP) is a universally conserved ribonucleoprotein involved in the co-translational targeting of proteins to membranes. Archaeal SRP consists of a 7S RNA and homologues of the eukaryotic SRP19 and SRP54 proteins. The record is from RNAcentral. Lineage: Bacteria; Bacillati; Bacillota; Clostridia; Eubacteriales; Oscillospiraceae.